UAUUUAUCUUUCUUCUUCCUUGAUACUGAACUAUUUUAUGAGUGAUUUGUUUUUGGUCCUAUUUUGAUUUUGCAGCUUUCGCUUUCUUAGUUUCCUGUUAUGAUUUACAUUUAUCCCCAUUUCUGGGACAUCAUGGAGGCAGACCAGGGACUUACUUGAAGGAGAAAAACAUGGGAGAUUUCCGAUUAUUCGUCCCUAGCAAAAAUUUGGGGUGUUCCUUUUCCCCAGCUAGUAUUAUAUAUCCAGCCAAGUUUUUGU
Molecule: long non-coding RNA, 258 nt
Filed under: Nicotiana benthamiana
Lineage: Eukaryota; Viridiplantae; Streptophyta; Magnoliopsida; Solanales; Solanaceae
Description: long non-coding RNA (NBEN_LNC034592)
Source: RNAcentral